CGUAGGGUGCGAGCGUUAAUCGGAAUUACUGGGCGUAAAGCGUGCGCAGGCGGUUUGUUAAGAUAGGCGUGAAAUCCCCCGGGCUCAACCUGGGAACUGCGCUUAUGACUGGCAAGCUAGAGUACGGCAGAGGGGGUGGAAUUCCACGUGUAGCAGUGAAAUGCGUAGAGAUGUGGAGGAACACCAAUGGCGAAGGCAGCCCCCUGGGUCGAUACUGACGCUCAUGCACGAAAGCGUGGGUAGCAAACAGGAUUAGAUACCCUGGUAGUCCACGCCCUAAACGAUGUCAACUAGGUGUUGGGAGGGUAAAACCUUUUAGUACCGGAGCUAACGCGUGAAGUUGACCGCCUGGGGAGUACGGCCGCAAGGUUA
This 372-nucleotide ribosomal RNA is filed under the name uncultured organism. Its description in RNAcentral is "bacterial SSU rRNA". It matches the Rfam family "Bacterial small subunit ribosomal RNA", at positions 526 to 896 of the family's 1533-position model. The record is from RNAcentral.